GAUGAAGAACGCAGCGAAAUGCGAUAAGUAGUGUGAAUUGCAGAAUUCAGUGAAUCAUCGAAUCUUUGAACGCACAUUGCGCCCUGUGGUAUUCCGCAGGGCAUGCCUGUUCGAGCGUCAUUGACACCCUCAAGCUCUGCUUGGUCUUGGGCGUUUGUGCCUGCCGUUGCGCAGGGACUCGCCUCAAACUCAUUGGCAGCCUGCCUUUGCCGGUCUUUGCACAGCACAGUCGUGCCAAAGCCGCGGUGAGCAGGCGCUCCACAAGCCCUUUUCAGCUUGACCUCGGAUCAGGUAGGAAUACCCGCUCAACUUAAGCAUAUCAAUAAGCGGAGGA
RNAcentral lists this unclassified non-coding RNA (334 nucleotides) under soil metagenome. Its description in RNAcentral is "partial contains 5.8S ribosomal RNA, internal transcribed spacer 2, and large subunit ribosomal RNA". The stretch from base 1 to 120 matches the Rfam family "5.8S ribosomal RNA", at positions 35 to 154 of the family's 154-position model. The record is from RNAcentral.